UCCCAUGUAGUCUAGUCGGCUAGGAUACUCGGCUUUCACCCGAGAGACCCGGGUUCGAUUCCCGGCGUGGGAG
Non-coding RNA from Danaus plexippus (monarch butterfly), 73 nucleotides. NCBI's taxonomy places the organism in Eukaryota, Metazoa, Arthropoda, Insecta, Lepidoptera, Nymphalidae. The record is from the annotation of a RefSeq genome assembly.